CCUACGGGAGGCUGCCGUGGGGAAUAUUGGGCAAUGGGCGAAAGCCUGACCCAGCAACGCCGCGUGAGGGAAGAAGGUCUUCGGAUUGUAAAGCUCUGUCAACAGGGACGAUAAUGACGGUACCUGUGGAGGAAGCCACGGCAAACUACGUGCCAGCAGCCGCGGUAAUACGUAGGUGGCAAGCGUUGUCCGGAAUAACUGGGCGUAAAGCGCAUGUAGACGGCAUAGCAAGCCAAGUGUGAAAUUUAGGGGCUUAACCUCUAAACUGCGCUUGGAACUGCUGAGCUUGAGUGCAGGAGAGGCAAGUGGAAUUCCCAGUGUAGCAGUGAAAUGCGUAGAUAUUGGGAGGAACACCAGUGGCGAAGGCGACUUGCUGGACUGCAACUGACGUUGAGAUACGAAAGCUAGGGGAGCAAACG
Molecule: ribosomal RNA, 419 nt
Filed under: uncultured prokaryote
Description: bacterial SSU rRNA
Rfam family: Bacterial small subunit ribosomal RNA
Source: RNAcentral